UUGCCUGACCCGGAAGUAGUCGUAAUCAGGGAAAAAUAAACAAACGGAAUCGUGGCCGGUGUCCUGUCUACCUGUCGAGUUGAGCUACUGACUCCUAAACGUUUUCACAGUUUAAAUGACCAUCGAUUUGUGCUCCUCCAGGCAGAAGGGAGUCAUAUUUUUUUUUCCAUUUGUGAAGGCUUAUAGGUAUGGAGCAGAGGUGACAGGAGAAUCUACAUGACCUGUCUGAGAGGAAACACCCAGACAGGUCAAAGAAAUCUCAAAAAUGAAGCUGAAGGAGAUAUGCUGAGAGGUUUAGACUAAAAGGUGAGUAGGCAAAGGUGUAUUCAAAUAUAUCUAUGUUUUGGUAAAAUGUCUUUUUGUUUCUAUGUACUUUAUGAAUGUUCCGUGCAGAAGGACAGCUCUUCUAUGGGAACACAAAGAUGAUCCAGUCCCCAACAGAAGCCAGAUCACUGGCUGGAUGAUGAUGGAAGUGACAAUUCAAACAAAGUAUUACCAAACCACAAUGUGGUUUUUUCCCUAUUACUGAUUUUUUUUUUUGGGUGUGUGUGCUUGUUUUUGUAAUACAGGUAAUUGAUGCAUACAUUCAUAUCCUUGUUGAAAAACAGCAGGCAAAUGCUGGAUGUAAAACUAUAUUGUUCUCAAUGCAUGUGUACUUAAUACACUAUACACUCAAUACACACGAACUAACACACACUUAAUUUUUUUUAACAGGGAUCCAUUCAUCAGCUCUGUGCUGUGGUAGCUGGAAGUUUGUUUUCCAGAAGAUUUCAGCCUCUUAGAAAAGCAGUCUAUUUGUUUGUUUUUAUCUAGCCAUAUCACCUAACACCAGUAACCUGAAUUAACAAUAAUUUGAUAUAAAACCCAUUCUUCAGAUGAAAUUUCCAGUGUUAAAAAGAUGGAUUUGUCCUGUAAAUGUAGGUGCUCACUGGAUUUUAGUGGUUUUCUACUAUUUUCCUCAGACCUAUUUCUGAGAUGUGUGUGUGUAUAUAUAUAUAUAUAUAUAUAUAUAUAUAUAUAUAUAUAUAUAUAUACAUACAUAUAUACAUGCAUUUCAGUUGACCUGAUGCAUGUCCUAGUGUGAUGGAAUAACAUGAAUACAGUAAUCAUUUAUAGAUGGUCACCAUGUCACAGAGGACACUGCUACUUGUUGAUCCACACAAGUAUAUUGUGUAUUUCGUAUGCUUGUUAUGCUUUUUAAACAAUAAUUAGGAAUUUCUUGAGGAUGGUGGGCCAUGAAGUCCAAGGAGAUAAAUGGACUGUAAAAACUGUUCACCACAACAAGCAGCAAGAUGCCAGUAGGUGUGGGAUUUAGGUGUUAAAGUUUGCAGAAGGGUUUCUCAACAAUGGAGACAUCGCAAGCAUCCAGACCCAUCCUGCAGAGGUUUUAAAGGCUCAAUAGGAAGCAGCAUGUGCCCUCCUACAGGUGGGAGGUCUGUGGGAAGAAACAUGAAGCCACCACGGAUGGGAUCAAUACGGACACCACAUGUCCCUCACAAGAUCAAACUA
Molecule: long non-coding RNA, 1509 nt
Organism: Sphaeramia orbicularis (orbiculate cardinalfish)
Lineage: Eukaryota; Metazoa; Chordata; Actinopteri; Kurtiformes; Apogonidae
Exons: 3
Source: RefSeq, a predicted model, not a curated record